This 73-nucleotide transfer RNA is filed under the name Canis lupus familiaris (dog). It matches the Rfam family "tRNA". From Rfam's summary of the family: Transfer RNA (tRNA) molecules are approximately 80 nucleotides in length. Lineage: Eukaryota; Metazoa; Chordata; Mammalia; Carnivora; Canidae. RNAcentral also lists the same sequence under 1 other name. The record is from Rfam by way of RNAcentral.
UCCCGGAUGGCUCAGUCGGUAGAGCAUGUGAAUCUUGAUCUCAGGGUCAUGAGUUCGAGCCCCAUAUUGGGCA